GACGAACGCUGGCGGCGUGCUUAACACAUGCAAGUCGAACGGAAAGGCCCUGCUUUUGUGGGGUGCUCGAGUGGCGAACGGGUGAGUAACACGUGAGUAACCUGCCCUUGACUUUGGGAUAACUUCAGGAAACUGGGGCUAAUACCGGAUAGGAGCUCCUGCUGCAUGGUGGGGGUUGGAAAGUUUCGGCGGUUGGGGAUGGACUCGCGGCUUAUCAGCUUGUUGGUGGGGUAGUGGCUUACCAAGGCUUUGACGGGUAGCCGGCCUGAGAGGGUGACCGGCCACAUUGGGACUGAGAUACGGACCAGACUCCUACGGGAGGCAGCAGGGGGGAGUAUUGCACAAUGGGAGGAACCCUGAUGCAGCAACGCCGCGUGCGGGAUGACGGCCUUCGGGUUGUAAACCGCUUUCGCCUGUGACGAAGCGUGAGUGACGGUAAUGGGUAAAGAAGCACCGGCUAACUACGUG
This 468-nucleotide ribosomal RNA is filed under the name uncultured bacterium. Its description in RNAcentral is "partial 16S ribosomal RNA". It matches the Rfam family "Bacterial small subunit ribosomal RNA", at positions 28 to 507 of the family's 1533-position model. The record is from RNAcentral.